This 402-nucleotide ribosomal RNA is filed under the name Triticum aestivum (bread wheat). RNAcentral describes it as "partial small subunit ribosomal RNA". Lineage: Eukaryota; Viridiplantae; Streptophyta; Magnoliopsida; Poales; Poaceae. The record is from RNAcentral.
GCGAACUUACAUCGUAAGACCAUCACCUCUGAUUCGGAUUGUCCGCGGUGCGCCCUCACUCAUGAGAACGCAACGCAUGUCGCCAUCCUUUGCCUACGCGCGGCACAGGUUUGGUCCCUCAUAGGGCUGCAACCCCCCCACUCCAUCGACCUUCUUUGGGAUACUACUACGCCGGUCGGCCUCGACAUCAACAUUUGGCCUACCGUAGCCCUCGCCAUCCUCUGGAAGCUGCGGGACUCCAGGAACGCUCGUGUCUUCCGCAACGAGCUACACACACCCCUAGAUACUCUUCGGAACAUUAUUUCGGAUUUUACGCUUUGGGCCUUCAGAUUUAAGGACCCCGUCAGUAGGGAGGCUGCCGUGUCUUGGCGCCUAUACCUCUCCUCUCGUUGUAACCCUUGA